AUACGGAGGGUGCGAGCGUUAAUCGGAGUUACUGGGCGUAAAGCGUGCGUAGGCGGUUUGCUAAGUCAGAUGUGAAAGCCCCGGGCUUAACCUGGGAACUGCAUUUGAUACUGGCAGACUAGAGUAUGAUAGAGGGGGGUAGAAUUCCUGGUGUAGCGGUGAAAUGCGUAGAUAUCAGGAGGAAUACCAGUGGCGAAGGCGGCCCCCUGGAUCAAUACUGACGCUGAGGUACGAAAGCGUGGGGAGCGAACAGGAUUAGAUACCCUUGUAGUCC
This 274-nucleotide ribosomal RNA is filed under the name uncultured bacterium. RNAcentral's name for it is "partial 16S ribosomal RNA". It matches the Rfam family "Bacterial small subunit ribosomal RNA", at positions 523 to 796 of the family's 1533-position model. The record is from RNAcentral.